UAUACUGUAAAUGUACUAUAAAGUAAAUAUCAUACUUUUUACUGGUCAUUUUAUCAAGUUAAUAGUUCUAAUUAUUACUUUGAACAACCUUACUUAUUGUUGAUGUUGCUUAAAUUCCGGAUGAACACUUUUUAGAAACUGCAGUUUUCAUUUAAAAACAAUACUGCUUGAUUUAAUUUAAUUUAUACGUGUUACAGACAAUAUGGAGCGACAAGGGUUCGUCAAAGGUAAGCAAAUCGAUGGUUAUAAGUGUAUUAUUUAUAGUCGGUACCUACAGUUUAGAAAUGGUUGAACAAGGAUAUAAAUAAUAAACAAAAGAGAUCUGAUACUGUGUCACUGUUGUAGAUGGGAAGUUGGGAAGGUAGGAUACAUUAAGGAGAUUGUUCAUUGCAAUUUGGCAAUUUCUAUUAUCGUUGUCACCACUCGUGAUCUUUGUGUUAGUUGUAAAUUAUUAUUAUUUAUUCGGUCGAAUGUGCGUGUACCGUCACUUGCCGCACUAUCCAUAUUGAUAGGUACUGUUCUCAUAGGUAGUACCCAGUUGUCAGUAAAAUUAUCAGACAUAGCUCACAGAUAUCUAUAUUAUACCAGAUACUAAACUCCGCUUAUCGAUGCUUAUCGAUACAUAACCGGCAUUUUCUCGGUGGAAAAUAUUGUAAAUAUUGAAUGUAAACGUAUGUAUUUAGACGUAUUUAGAAAUCAUUAUUGUAAUUUGUAAUAUAGACACUUACAGCUAUAGAAUACUUGAUUACAUAGAAAUAAUCGGAAACUUCUAUAGUAUGAUAAAAUAACAACAGAUAUUUCUAAAAUCAUAAAAUUAUUGAUGAAAUUAAAACCAAAUAUAUCAAAAUAUUGGAAGGAACUAUCAAUUUCACAUUACGAUUUUAGCCUCGUGCUUUUUGAUAUUUUCUUUAAUAAUUUAUGUGACGUAUUAUGAAUAUUACUUUGAUAAUUAUGAUAAUUAUCUAUUUAAAUCAUUAAAGAAAAUGCUCAUAUCCUGUGUGGCUUAUGUCUGUUCAAGUCGGUAUUCUGUCAGUAAUUAUUUUGUAAUUCCUUUUUUUCGGAACCUAUGUAUGUAUAAAAUAUGUAUUUGAUUAGCUUUUUAAAACUAGAUAAUAUUUUUUUCUAAUUGUAAUGUGCAUACGUUAUUAUAUUUAAAACUAAGAUUAUAAUAUUAUGCCACUAUGUCAAAAACGAACGCUGUUAGUAAACAUCAUAUGCUAACAAACCAAUUUUAUUUAACAACCAGUAGAUGAAAUGUGUAAUUCACAAAUAUAGAUCAUUCAUUUUACCUAUAUUAUGUUUUUAUUUCGUAUUUAUUUUAAAAUCUGUCUCAAACUCUAUGUACUAUUUUUAUACCUAUAUAUUUUCACAGUUAAUCUUAUUUUCUCUAAGAACUUUUUGCAUCUGCCAACAAUUGAUUAAGUAUUAAAUUAAUUUUUUUGUAGAAAUAGAUAAUAAUUAGUUGACACCAAAAAAAAUUCUUGAAAUCUAAAUACGAGGUAUAAAAAUUAAUUAAUGUAUUAUUAUUUCUUAUGACAAAAUAUCAAUUGUCACCGAAAAUAUGGUAAAAGCAUGUCGCCUAGGUGUCACUAUUCCCAAUGUAAAACGCCAGUAGUUCGCUAUUUAGUAUAAUAUAGAUAUCUAUGUUGUAAUUCAGCGGCUUGCAGCAAUAUUAAUAUCGAAAAGAAAAAAUUUAAAUGAAAAUGUAUAAUAAAAAACUAACACCGUUAAACAUUUUUAUUUUAAUACAAUAAUAUUAGCUUUAGAUGAUCAUAUAAUAAAAUAACAGAAUAAUCGUCAAGUUAUUUUUAAUUGAUCUAUAACUUGAAAGUAGUAAAUUGCCGAGACUGUCUAAAGUAGCAAAUUUUAAAUUUUCAGUUUUUAUUGUUUCUUAUGGAAUUAGUCCUUUUUUUGUGGAUGGACAUUUGAUUUCAUAUAUGCCAUUGUUAUCUAUUAUCAGGAUUUGCAGCUAAAAGUGGUAGGUGUUCAUCAACAAAAUGGCCAGAUUAUUAAAUUUUAAAUCCUGUUAAUUUUUCAAAUUUGGUUUUUCCAAAAGGUUCACACUUAAUAUUAUAUCUGGUAUACUCAUUAACAGAAAAAGUUUUAUAUAACAUUGAAUUUAUUGUAUUAAUUUUUGAAGAUUGAUAUUUAACGAAAAUAAUUUAUUCUUUUGCCUCCUAUACAUACAUUUAGCUACACUAUAUUUUAACCUUGGAUCAAAUUAUUGUUUACUAUAUAAAACAAACUUAAGGUAUGAUGAGCAAGUAGAUUGUUCGCAUACAAAAUAUAUGUUUAAAGUCCCGAUUCUUUCAUUUCUGGAAUAUUAUUUUUAUUUUUAGUUUCAUUUUUUUUUUUAUAUUACACAAAUUUAUAAAAAAUAUAACAAAAUUGUCAUGAUUUCUAAAAACGUGAUAUGAUCCGUGAUACUCGUAUGUUAUUUAAUUUAUAUCUGUAAUUAACGAUUAAACCAUUGAUAUCGAAAAAUUAUUUGAACCAAAUUUAAUAUUAAAACUCUUAUAAAAAAAAAUUUACAUUACAUUACACUAGGGUGACCAUAAGUCCUGUUUUAUGCAGGAUUGUCUUUUUUUUAGCUUUGUGUCCUUUUGUCCCGAUGAACUUCCUUCAGGACGUUUUUUGUCCUGUUUUUAUUUAAAUGCCAAUUAUUCCGUAUUAUAAUAUUCAAUUAGAUAUAAAUAUUUUAUUUUAUUUUUAAAUAAAAUAAAUUUGUUGACAAAAAUAUUUAUUAUAAAUUAUGACAGUGAUUGCGAUUGCAAUUUAUGGACAUGCACAAAAAUCGUGGAAUACACAAACUCUAACUUUUUUAAAAUUUGUAUAAAAUGAUGUUCAUGCACCUACUUGUAUUAAUAAAUUUAAAAUUAUACGAUAAUAUUUUGUACUAUUACUUAUUUAUAAUAACUGUUUUAGAUGGAAAAAAAAAUAAUGCCACCAUUUGUAGAAACAUGAAAAGUAAGAUUCAUAAACACGAUAUACAACUAACAAUAAUUUAAAUUAAUAUAUUAUAAUGUAUUCCUAUAAAGUUUGUUUUAUAGGAAUAAAUAUCAGCAGCAAUAUGAUUUAUGUGUUCCUAAAUUCAUCUGUCAAUUUAACGGAUUGCAGAGUAGAAUAAUGGAGUAAAAAAAAACAUUUUUGUAAUUGCAAUGGAACUUGGUGAUUCAUACCCAUAAUCAUAAUCAACUGCUAAAAUAUUAUCACAAUAUUAGUUUUCUUUAUUUUAUUAUAGCACGAGAAUACUUGUGUCAAGAUAAAAUAAUGCCACUCCUGCGGAUUGACCAGCAGUAGAAUUUAGGAACAAUAAAAUUGAGUGGCUGUUCUUCUGAAUUUAGAAACACUCGAAGUAUGCCCAUAAAUUAAUAGUUUUAGAUUGAUAUUUUUUUUCAUCAUUCAAAAAUUAAAAUAAUAAAAAAUGCACAAAUAUUUUUUAUUCGUAAUUAUUCAAGAUCUAAAAUGUGUCCACAAAAUAUUUUAGAUUGAUGCUGGUAGGUACUAUUACUUCCCAUAUAUUACACUUAUUAGAUAAGAUUAAAAUACUAGAUAGUGCAUUUUCUCCAUUAUUUAUGAUUCCUUAUUAAAAUAAUACAAUUGUCUAAAAAUGUAAACAACCCAAAAGCUAUUUCAACUCCGAGUAAUAAUCAUUGAAAGGAAGAAAGAAAGAAAAGAAGUAAAAAGAAAAUUUCCUUGAAAACAAUUAAUAUUUCAAUAACACAUUUUUUUUAAAUAUUAUUUUAAAUUAGUUAUUUGAAGAAGUGGCCAAUUGGGAAAACUCAAAUUCCUGGCAGCCUUGAAUUUAUUAUCAUUAUUAAUUGAAAUAGUUUAUUUAAACAUAAAUUAAUUUAUGUUAAUGUAAUGUAAACAUUUAAAAAUAGAAGACAAAAUAUAAUUAUUAGUCACUUUAAAAACUUAAAAAAUAUCCUGUCAACUAUUUACAAAUUAAGAUACUACAUUUAUUUAGGUUUCUACAUAAAAGCAUACUGUACUAGGUUACCAAAUUAUUUAUGGAAUUAUAGUUUAUUGUCUAAAAUACGUUUAGAAAACAAUUGUAUUUCAGAUUUUUAUCAAGACAUUGAGAAAUAUUGUAUCAUUAUUUUCUGCUCAUAUCACAAUUCAUUAUGGGCGGAUACUCCAAUUUUAGCAUACUAGGAAAUUAAAAAAAAAAAACCAGUCCUUACUGAUGACCUUAUAAACCCUGAUCAUUGAUUAUAAAUAAAUACUGAUUAUUUGUAAUUAUUAUACAUUAUUGAUUUAUAAUAAAGGCCCUGAUAAACCGAUAGUUCGAUAAUUUUCCAUCACUAUCAAGUGCAAUCUGAGGGCCGGACCCACCGGGAAAUUCCUGGCUUCCGGUAGGCGUAUCCACCAUGCAAUUCGUCUUCGUGCAAAUUUAUUAUAUUUUUACAUUUUUUAAUAUGUUUAGAAGAUAAAAGAGAUUUGCUUUACGG
Cinara cedri is the source of this 4454-nucleotide non-coding RNA. Lineage: Eukaryota; Metazoa; Arthropoda; Insecta; Hemiptera; Aphididae. The record is from the annotation of a GenBank genome assembly.